Long non-coding RNA from Bufo bufo (common toad), 202 nucleotides. RefSeq lists it as uncharacterized. The record is from RefSeq and is a predicted model, not a curated record. Lineage: Eukaryota; Metazoa; Chordata; Amphibia; Anura; Bufonidae. The transcript is spliced from 3 exons.
UGUACUAAUUUAAACAUGUCAAGCAUGUAAGGAGCAAGAAUACUCUGGAAGUGGCGAAAGUAUUCAUUAGAGAGUCCAUCAGGACCUGGGGAUUUACCCAUCUGGAGAGACAUAAUAACCUUAUUAACUUCUGCGAGUGAGAAUGGUGCAUUAAGGGACUGUAAUUGUGAGGGUAGGAAGAGUCGCCUGUUUGAUGAGGAAG